RNAcentral lists this ribosomal RNA (587 nucleotides) under uncultured bacterium. RNAcentral describes it as "bacterial SSU rRNA". It matches the Rfam family "Bacterial small subunit ribosomal RNA", at positions 338 to 916 of the family's 1533-position model. The record is from RNAcentral.
CCUACGGGAGGCAGCAGUAGGGAAUCUUCCACAAUGGGCGAAAGCCUGAUGGAGCAACGCCGCGUGAGUGAAGAAGGAUUUCGGUUCGUAAAACUCUGUUGUAAGGGAAGAACAAGUACAGUAGUAACUGGCUGUACCUUGACGGUACCUUAUUAGAAAGCCACGGCUAACUACGUGCCAGCAGCCGCGGUAAUACGUAGGUGGCAAGCGUUGUCCGGAAUUAUUGGGCGUAAAGCGCGCGCAGGUGGUUUCUUAAGUCUGAUGUGAAAGCCCACGGCUCAACCGUGGAGGGUCAUUGGAAACUGGGAGACUUGAGUGCAGAAGAGGAUAGUGGAAUUCCAAGUGUAGCGGUGAAAUGCGUAGAGAUUUGGAGGAACACCAGUGGCGAAGGCGACUAUCUGGUCUGUAACUGACACUGAGGCGCGAAAGCGUGGGGAGCAAACAGGAUUAGAUACCCUGGUAGUCCACGCCGUAAACGAUGAGUGCUAAGUGUUAGGGGGUUUCCGCCCCUUAGCGCUGCAGCUAACGCAUUAAGCACUCCGCCUGGGGAGUACGGUCGCAAGACUGAAACUCAAAGGAAUUGACGG